UGAUGACGAGAUGCUACGGCAUUGAAGCAGUGUAUGUCAGACUUCCAAGAAAAGCUUGCAAUGUCAUAAAUAAAUAAUGCCUGUACCAUAACCGACACAGGUGGGUAGGCAGAGUAUGCUAAGGGGCGCGAGAUAACUCUCUCUAAGGAACUCGGCAAAAUGACUCCGUAACUUCGGGAGAAGGAGUGCCUUAUUUAUAAGGUUGCAAUAACAAGAUCCAAGCAACUGUUUACCAAAAACACAGGUCUCCGCUAAGUCGUAAGACGAUGUAUGGGGGCUGACGCCUGCCCAGUGCCAGAAGGUUAAAGAAGUUGGUUAGCAUUUGCGAAGCUGAUAACCGAAGCCCUGGUGAACGGCGGCCGUAACAAUAACGGUCCUAAGGUAGCGAAAUUCCUUGUCGGGUAAGUUCCGACCCGCACGAAAGGCGUAAUGAUUUGGAUACUGUCUCAGAGAGGGGCUCGGUGAAAUAGACUUGUCUGUGAAGAUGCGGACUACCUGCACCUGGACAGAAAGACCCUAUGAAGCUUUACUGUAACUUGAAAUUGAAAUUGGACUUUAUUUGCGCAGUAUAGGUGGGAGGCGUUGAGUUUAUUCUUGCGGGAAUUUAGGAGCCAUCAGUGAGAUACCACUCUGGUAAUGUUAGAUUUCUAACUUUGGAUCAUAAUCUGGUUAAAGAACAGUUUCAGGCGGGCAGUUUGACUGGGGCGGUCGCCUCCUAAACGGUAACGGAGGCGUACAAAGGUUUCCUCUGAACGUGUAGAAAUCGUAUCUAGAGUGUAAAGGCAUAAGGAAGCUUGACUGUGAGACUUACAAGUCGAGCAGGGACGAAAGUCGGUCUUAGUGAUCUGACGGUGCUGAGUGGAAAGGCCGUCACUCAACGGAUAAAAGUUACUCUAGGAUAACAGGCUGAUCUCCCCCAAGAGUUCACAUCGACGGGGAGGUUUGGCACCUCGAUGUCGGCUCAUCGCAUCCUGGGGCGGUAGUACGUCCCAAGGGUUGGGCUGUUCGCCCAUGAAAGCGGUACGCGAGCUGGGUUCAGAACGUCGUGAGACAGUUCGGUCCAUAUCCGGUGUAGGCGCUAGAAUAUUGAGAGGAGCCUUCUUUAGUACGAGAGGACCGAGAAGGACAUACCUCUGGUGUACCAGUUAUCGUGCCAACGGUAAACGCUGGGUAGCUAUGUAUGGAGAGGAUAACCGCUGAAAGCAUCUAAGUGGGAAGCCCACCUCAAGAUAAGUAUUCUC
RNAcentral lists this ribosomal RNA (1241 nucleotides) under metagenome. Its description in RNAcentral is "bacterial LSU rRNA". It matches the Rfam family "Bacterial large subunit ribosomal RNA", at positions 1564 to 2815 of the family's 2925-position model. The record is from RNAcentral.